UACGUAGGUGGCAAGCGUUGUCCGGAUUUAUUGGGCUUAAAGGGCGCGUAGGCGGCUUUGUAAGUCAGUGGUGAAAUAUGGCAGCUCAACUGUCAAGGUGCCAUUGAUACUGCGGAGCUUGAGUACAGAUGAGGUAGGCGGAAUUGUCGGUGUAGCGGUGAAAUGCUUAGAUAUCGUCAAGAACACCGAUAGCAAAGGCAGCUUACUAGGCUGUAACUGACGCUGAGGCACGAAAGUGUGGGGAUCAAACAGG
RNAcentral lists this ribosomal RNA (253 nucleotides) under uncultured bacterium. RNAcentral describes it as "partial 16S ribosomal RNA". It matches the Rfam family "Bacterial small subunit ribosomal RNA", at positions 524 to 776 of the family's 1533-position model. The record is from RNAcentral.